GUCUUCUCCCCCAUACCCCUUACUCUUUUUCUUUCGAGCUAUGGCAGCAGCUUAUUCUUGGAAAGGAAAUUCUCUAUUGGGGUCUUGUGUGGCUUAUGGUGAUAUAUUGCUCAAAUUGAAACCUUGUUAAGCUCUUGCUUAUGAGAUUAUGCUACUGAAUUCAUAUGGAGGGGGGGUUAUCACGCGGCUAUCUCUAAUUUGCAUAGCUCUAAGCUCUUGAGCUUCAACUUAGUGUUACAUGGUUGUUAUUGUUUUAUCCUUGCUGCGAGGAUCCUAUGAAAACUCUAAGUUCUUGUUUCUAGCUAUUCGUUGUUCUACAUGAUGCGAUGGAGAUGGGUGUUGAGGUUGUUUACCUCACUUGUUGAACUUGUAUCGGUGGUGGCUGUCCUUGCCGUCACCACUCGCUGCCCUCUCCCUCCUCCCUCGCUGCUCUUCGCGUUUGGUGUUGCAGAAUUUGUGGUGAUGGAAUGUGGUGGUGGAGGAGGUGAGGAGAGGUUGCUUAUAUGGUGCUAAGCUAUUGAAAGCUAGGCUUGAGACUUGGAGUCAAAGACUCCUAUUUUGGGCUUGUUAGCUCUCUUACUUUCGAGCUUGAUGAUUGUGAGAUUCUUGCCGUUUUGGUGAUUGUGGCUGAUUCUCUUGGCUGAUUUCUCGGCCUCGAUCGACGGGGUGAUGAGAGUUUGUCUCAUCCUCUAUUUUUGGGCUUGUGUAGGAGCUCGCUCUCCAAUGCCCCUUUGUCUCGACUCCCUUUUGAUGUUAGAGGAGAUGGUAUCAUAGCUGGAAAUUUGGAGCCUUAUGGGCUGAAAAUCGAGAAGGAGAUUGAGGGGGAAAGAAAGAAGAUGCUCCUCUAGAGAUCCUUUGGCUCCAUCACCAAAAUAGCUAGCUUCCAACUUGCUCACUAGUGUAGGAUAAUGGUGUAGAGAAGAUGUGUGUGUGUCACCCUCACAUAUGUAACAUGUGCUAGAUGUAUCUCCAACAUUCUUGUGUAAUUUGCUCCUCAAUUAUUUAUCUAAUAAAAGCAUAACUUUACUUUUA
This is a non-coding RNA of Salvia hispanica, 1032 nucleotides long. Lineage: Eukaryota; Viridiplantae; Streptophyta; Magnoliopsida; Lamiales; Lamiaceae. The record is from RefSeq and is a predicted model, not a curated record.